CCUGGGUUCCAGUGAUCCUCCCACCUCAGCCUCCCCAGUAGCUGGGGCUACGGGUCUAGCUGCAGUACAGUGAUGCAGUCAUAGCCCACUGCAGCCUCAAAUUCCUGGGCUCAAGCAAUCCACCCACAUCAGCUUCCCAAGUAGUUGGGACUACAGGCCCACACUACUAUGCCCAGACCAACAGAUAUUCUAGCAUAUAAGAAAUGUGAUGCUCUCUGUACAUUGAAGAGUUGGUCUAAUAUUUGGCCUGGUGGAUACAGAAAUUGCCUGUCUGCUCCGCUCUGGUUGAAGAAACCAGUCCGAUUGUCUCUGAGGCUAUGGAGCAGUCCAUCAAGAAUGAAAGCCCUCGGCCAGCACGUUGGCUCACACCUGUAAUACCAGCGCUUUGGGAGGCUGAGGCAGGUGGAUCACUUGAAGUCACGAGUU
RNAcentral lists this long non-coding RNA (426 nucleotides) under Pan troglodytes (chimpanzee). RNAcentral's name for it is "lincRNA". Lineage: Eukaryota; Metazoa; Chordata; Mammalia; Primates; Hominidae. The record is from RNAcentral.